Molecule: non-coding RNA, 99 nt
Organism: Buceros rhinoceros silvestris
Lineage: Eukaryota; Metazoa; Chordata; Aves; Bucerotiformes; Bucerotidae
Source: Rfam
ACUCCCGUUCUUGGCAGGCCCCGGCCGCCCUGUGCCCGGGUCUGUGAUGUCCGGAGGUAGAGCAGCGACUCUUUCACGGGGGGCACCCCCUUGUCAUGG